GAGGAUUUAGCUUAAAUUAAAGUAAUUGAUUUGCACUCAUUAGAUGUAAGAUUUAGACUUGCAAUCCUUA
Cricetulus griseus (Chinese hamster) is the source of this 70-nucleotide non-coding RNA. The record is from Ensembl. NCBI's taxonomy places the organism in Eukaryota, Metazoa, Chordata, Mammalia, Rodentia, Cricetidae.